UACGGAGGGGGCGAGCGUUGUUCGGAAUCAUUGGGCGUAAAGGGCGCGUAGGCGGCCGUCCAAGUCGGGUGUGAAAUCCCUCGGCUCAACCGAGGAACUGCACUCGAUACUGGUCGGCUAGAGUCCGGGAGGGGAUGGUGGAAUUCCCAGUGUAGCGGUGAAAUGCGUAGAUAUUGGGAAGAACACCGGUGGCGAAGGCGGCCAAUCUGGACCGGAACGUGACGCUGAGGCGCGGAAAGCCAGGGGAGCGAAUGGG
Molecule: ribosomal RNA, 256 nt
Filed under: uncultured bacterium
Lineage: Bacteria
Description: partial 16S ribosomal RNA
Rfam family: Bacterial small subunit ribosomal RNA
Source: RNAcentral